RNAcentral lists this ribosomal RNA (330 nucleotides) under uncultured eukaryote. RNAcentral's name for it is "partial 18S ribosomal RNA". It matches the Rfam family "Eukaryotic small subunit ribosomal RNA", at positions 1470 to 1796 of the family's 1831-position model. The record is from RNAcentral.
CCCUUAGAUGUUCGGGGCCGCACGCGCGCUACACUGAAGGAAUCAGCACGUCUUUCUCCUUGUCCGAAAGGACUGGGUAACCCGCUGAACCUCCUUCGUGCUAGGGAUUGGGGCUUGUAAUUCUUCCCUAUGAACGAGGAAUUCCCAGUAAGCGCGAGUCAUAAGCUCGCGUUGAUUACGUCCCUGCCCUUUGUACACACCGCCCGUCGCUACUACCGAUUGGAUGGUUUAGUGAGAUCCUCGGAUUGGUCCCGGCGCGGCCUCUGGUCGUGCCGGAGUGCCGAAAAGAAUGUCGAACUUGAUCAUCUAGAGGAAGUAAAAGUCGUAACA